RNAcentral lists this ribosomal RNA (484 nucleotides) under uncultured bacterium. RNAcentral describes it as "partial 16S ribosomal RNA". It matches the Rfam family "Bacterial small subunit ribosomal RNA", at positions 30 to 507 of the family's 1533-position model. The record is from RNAcentral.
AUUGAACGCUGGCGGCAGGCCUAACACAUGCAAGUCGAGCGGAUGAAGGGAGCUUGCUCCUGGAUUCAGCGGCGGACGGGUGAGUAAUGCCUAGGAAUCUGCCUGGUAGUGGGGUAUAACGUCCGGAAACGGGCGCUAAUACCGCAUACGUCCUGAGGGAGAAAGUGGGGGAUCUUCGGACCUCACGCUGUCAGAUGAGCCUAGGUCGGAUUAGCUAGUUGGUGGGGUAAAGGCCUACCAAGGCGACGAUCCGUAACUGGUCUGAGAGGAUGAUCAGUCACACUGGAACUGAGAAACGGUCCAGACUCCUACGGGAGGCAGCAGUGGGGAAUAUUGGAGAAUGGGCGAAAGCCUGAUCCAGCCAUGCCGAGUGUGUGAAGAAGGUAUUCGGAUUGUAAAGCCCUUUAAGUUGGGAGGAAGGGCAGUAAGUUAAUACCUUGCUGUUUUGACGUUACCAAAAGAAUAAGCACCGGCUAACUUCGUG